RNAcentral lists this unclassified non-coding RNA (323 nucleotides) under uncultured fungus. RNAcentral describes it as "partial contains 5.8S ribosomal RNA, internal transcribed spacer 2, and large subunit ribosomal RNA". The record is from RNAcentral. Lineage: Eukaryota; Fungi.
AACGCAUCUUGCGCUCCUUGGUAUUCCUUGGAGCAUGCCUGUUUGAGUAUCAUGAGAAAAACUCAAAGUCAAUUCCUUUCAAUUUGGUUUUGCUUUGGACUUGGAGGUUCUUGCAGAUUUCACCGUCUGCUCCUCUUAAAUGCAUUAGCUGGAUCUCAGUGUUAUGCUUGGUUCCACUCGGCGUGAUAAGUAUCACUCGCUGAGGACACUGUAAAAGGUGGCCAGGAAAAUACUGAUCGAACCGCUUCUAACGGUCUAUUAAGUUAGACAAUUAGCCCCUUAAGUUUGAUCUCAAAUCAGGCAGGACUACCCGCUGAACUUAA